UACGUAGGGGGCUAGCGUUGUCCGGAAUCAUUGGGCGUAAAGCGCGUGUAGGCGGCCCGAUAAGUCCGCUGUGAAAGUCCAGGGCUCAACCCUGGGAUGCCGGUGGAUACUGUCGGGCUCGAGUCCGGAAGAGGCGAGUGGAAUUCCUGGUGUAGCGGUGAAAUGCGCAGAUAUCAGGAAGAACACCCGUGGCGAAGGCGGCUCUCUGGGACGGUACUGACGCUGAGACGCGAAAGCGUGGGGAGCGAACAGG
This 253-nucleotide ribosomal RNA is filed under the name uncultured bacterium. Its description in RNAcentral is "partial 16S ribosomal RNA". It matches the Rfam family "Bacterial small subunit ribosomal RNA", at positions 524 to 776 of the family's 1533-position model. The record is from RNAcentral.